Styela clava is the source of this 130-nucleotide non-coding RNA. RefSeq annotates it as small Cajal body-specific RNA 8. NCBI's taxonomy places the organism in Eukaryota, Metazoa, Chordata, Ascidiacea, Stolidobranchia, Styelidae. The record is from RefSeq and is a predicted model, not a curated record.
AGGGGGAAAGUUACUCAAUGUAUAUAAGCAUGUUAUAUCUUUGCCACUAUAUCUCCUCAAAUCAAACUUGCUUUUUGAUGGCCCUACUGAUGAAGUAUCGACAGAAAGGGCAGUUACGGAGCAGACAGCU